UCAAAUAAGAAAUUUUAUGUUGACAGACUUUUUAUUUGCCACUAUUAUAAGUCUGAACUUUAAACAGAUUCUUGGACUGGUGGUUCGUAUCCAUCAGCUCGUUCAACUUUAGCACCUGUCUCAUCCCCAGUGGCUUUUCCAGAACUACUGCCUUCACCAUGAAGCUCCAUGAGUUUUCCCA
Molecule: long non-coding RNA, 181 nt
Organism: Cebus imitator (Panamanian white-faced capuchin)
Lineage: Eukaryota; Metazoa; Chordata; Mammalia; Primates; Cebidae
Exons: 3
Source: RefSeq, a predicted model, not a curated record